Scomber japonicus (chub mackerel) is the source of this 367-nucleotide long non-coding RNA. RefSeq lists it as uncharacterized. The record is from RefSeq and is a predicted model, not a curated record. Lineage: Eukaryota; Metazoa; Chordata; Actinopteri; Scombriformes; Scombridae. The transcript is spliced from 4 exons.
CAGAGGAAACCUGAAGAAGUUGAUGACAUCACUGAUGACAUCACGUACAGUGACGUCAAAAUAUCUCGUCAGCAGCCAAUCAGACGGAGUGGAGAGAGUGAUCCAGCUGCAGUUUACUCAGCAGUGAAAACAACAGAAGACGUCAGUUAUGGACAAAUAGUCAUCAAAUCAAACAGGAAGAGAGUGUCUCCAUUAGAGCCAGAGGUUGUCUACUCUUCACUGAGGUAGACCUCCACACCUUCACACCAGUCCAACCACUGACGUCCAGCUGGCCUGUUACUGGUCUCCAGAGCCCCUCAGACAGUAGUACAUUCAUUUAUAGAUUUCAUACACUUCAUGUUGUUGUUCACUAAAUUAGACUCAGGCA